This 618-nucleotide ribosomal RNA is filed under the name Triticum aestivum (bread wheat). RNAcentral describes it as "partial small subunit ribosomal RNA". The record is from RNAcentral. Lineage: Eukaryota; Viridiplantae; Streptophyta; Magnoliopsida; Poales; Poaceae.
AUGGAUCCUUGUAGGGAGGAGCGACCGUUGUGUGCUCAGUUCCCUGUUUGUUUCAACGUGUGUAAUAAUCAAGAGAUUACUGUGGCUAAAUUUUGGGAGAGUGUGGAUGAAAACUUUUUUAGAAGACGAUUACACCCUCCUCUUCUUGACCAAUGGAGAGAGGUGCAAGCUAGGGUGAGGGCUUGGCCUCUCUCUAAUGAUCCUGAUCAAGUCGUUUGGACCCUGGGGAAGAAAAGAAAGUUCACUACUAAAUCUGUAUACGAUUACCUGGAGAGGAACCUAGCUGGGUGCAAUUACAAGUGGAUAUGGAGAGCGAAAAUUCCUCUUAAAAUGCAAAUUUUUCUAUGCCAAUUACUCCAGACUUUUGUUCUGACCAGGGAUGUCAUGAGCAGACGUGGGUGGCUGGGAAGGCCUGUGUGUCCAUUAUGUAAUAAUAGAGAAACUUCUCAACAUCUCUUUUUUACCUGUCUGGUUGCUAGAGUUGUGUGGAGGACAGUGGGAUGUGUUUUGGGCACGGAUAGAUGUCCUAACAAUAUUUGGCAAUAUUUUGCUUGGUGUUACUGUUUUAUUCCUGGUGGGGAGAGGUUCUAUACCUUUGGCCUAGCUGCUCUUUGCUAG